RNAcentral lists this ribosomal RNA (446 nucleotides) under uncultured bacterium. Its description in RNAcentral is "partial 16S ribosomal RNA". It matches the Rfam family "Bacterial small subunit ribosomal RNA", at positions 338 to 795 of the family's 1533-position model. The record is from RNAcentral.
CCUACGGGCGGCAGCAGUCGAGAAUCAUUCACAAUGGGGGAAACCCUGAUGGUGCGACGCAGCGUGGGGGAAUGAAGGUCUUCGGAUUGUAAACCCCUGUCAUGUGGGAGCAAAUUAAAAAGAUAGUACCACAAGAGGAAGAGACGGCUAACACUGUGCCAGUAGCCGCGGUAAUACAGAGGUGUCAAGCGUUGUUCGGAAUCACUGGGCUUAAGGCGUGCGGAGGAUGUUUCGUAAGUAGUGUGUGAAAGGCGCGGGCUCAACCCGCGCACGGCACAUGAUACUGCGAGACUAGAGUAAGGGAGGGGGAACCGGAAUUCGCGGUGUAGCAGUGAAAUGCGUAGAUAUCGAGAGGAACACUCGUGGCGAAGGCGGGUUCCUGGACAUUAACUGACGCUGAGGCACGAAGGCCAGGGGAGCGAAAGGGAUUAGAUACCCCUGUAGUC